RNAcentral lists this ribosomal RNA (300 nucleotides) under uncultured Desulfococcus sp. RNAcentral's name for it is "bacterial SSU rRNA". It matches the Rfam family "Bacterial small subunit ribosomal RNA", at positions 114 to 398 of the family's 1533-position model. Lineage: Bacteria; Pseudomonadati; Thermodesulfobacteriota; Desulfobacteria; Desulfobacterales; Desulfococcaceae. The record is from RNAcentral.
CGCGUGGGUAAUCUACCUCCGAAUUGGGGAUAACAUUGCGAAAGCGAUGCUAAUACCGAAUGAUAUCUUUAAAACCUCGGUUCUUUAGAUCAAAGGUGGCCUCUACAUGUAAGCUUCUGUUUGGAGAUGAGCCCGCGUACCAUUAGCUUGUUGGUAGGGUAAUGGCCUACCAAGGCAACGAUGGUUAGCUGGUCUGAGAGGAUGAUCAGCCACACUGGAACUGACACACGGUCCAGACUCCUACGGGAGGCAGCAGUGAGGAAUUUUGCGCAAUGGGGGAAACCCUGACGCAGCAACGCC